This is a long non-coding RNA of Nomascus leucogenys (northern white-cheeked gibbon), 573 nucleotides long. RefSeq lists it as uncharacterized. Lineage: Eukaryota; Metazoa; Chordata; Mammalia; Primates; Hylobatidae. The record is from RefSeq and is a predicted model, not a curated record. The transcript is spliced from 3 exons.
CGGAGCCGGGAGCUGGGAGCUAUGAGUGCUGACUGCGUGAACUCGGCUUCCAUUUCCCGGACCUGCCACUUUUCAUGAUCCACGAGCUGUACUCAUGACUCCGCACAAGCAAGCAGGGGAUGACGGUCGGAUCCCUCGCCCCCAUUUUACGGACAGAAAUACUGAGGCUCAAAGAGAGAAAGUGAGAUGUUGAAAUCACGCGUGAUUGGAAUCCAUCCUUGCUAGGGCUGCGGGUGUUACGGGCCGUGGGCGGCGGUUAAGAGCGCUAGUCAAGUGAAGCAAUGGGAAUGGAGAAAAAACAAAUCUAUAACUGGUUGUGAUGAAUUAGUUGUAAGCACCACUGCAAUUGGACCAGUCAAUACCAUGGUUAUCACAGGAGCGUGUCUGAGGCUGUGUUUGGCCCUGAGUGCCAGGUCUGCACCCUGCACUAAGGAUGGGUGAGGAACGACAGGCAGUCGAGCUGGUUGGUGCUACAGGCAAUGUACAGUAAGCCAUGAUGGGCAGAGGCAGGAAAUACUUGGAGAACUGGAAAGAAUAAAGGAGCCGGUGCUCUCCUCUCAGGGCCAGGGGAGU